Molecule: ribosomal RNA, 617 nt
Filed under: Actinomycetota bacterium
Lineage: Bacteria; Bacillati; Actinomycetota
Description: bacterial SSU rRNA
Rfam family: Bacterial small subunit ribosomal RNA
Source: RNAcentral
UUGUUGGAGAGUUUGAUCCUGGCUCAGGACGAACGCUGGCGGCGUGCUUAAUACAUGCAAGUCGAACGUGGUUCAUCCGCUCUUCGGAGUGGAGAAGAUCAAGUGGCGAACGGGUGCGUAACACGUGAGGAACCUGCCCUGGUCUCUGGAAUAACUGAUGGAAACAUCUGCUAAUACCGGAUACCGUCAUCACUCCGCAUGGUGAGAUGACGAAAGAUUUAUCGGACCGGGAGGGUCUCGCGGCCUAUCAGCUUGUUGGUGAGGUAACGGCUCACCAAGGCAUCGACGGGUAGCUGGUCUGAGAGGAUGAUCAGCCACACUGGGACUGAGACACGGCCCAGACUCCUACGGGAGGCAGCAGUAGGGAAUAUUGCACAAUGGGCGCAAGCCUGAUGCAGCAACGCCGCGUGCGGGAAGAAGGACCUAGGUUUGUAAACCGCUUUCAGCAGGGAAGAAAACAGACGGUACCUGUAGAAGAAGGUGCGGCCAACUACGUGCCAGCAGCCGCGGUGACACGUAGGCACCAAGCGUUGUCCGGAUUUAUUGGGCGUAAAGAGCUCGUAGGCGGUUCGGUAAGUCGGGUGUGAAAACUCUGGGCUCAACCCAGAGCCGCCACC